This 550-nucleotide ribosomal RNA is filed under the name uncultured bacterium. RNAcentral's name for it is "partial 16S ribosomal RNA". It matches the Rfam family "Bacterial small subunit ribosomal RNA", at positions 355 to 895 of the family's 1533-position model. The record is from RNAcentral.
UGGGGAAUAUUGGACAAUGGGCGCAAGCCUGAUCCAGCAAUGCCGCGUGUGUGAAGAAGGCCUUCGGGUUGUAAAGCACUUUUAUCAGGAGCGAAACGCUGUCGGCUAAUACCCGGCGGAACUGACGGUACCUGAGGAAUAAGCACCGGCUAACUUCGUGCCAGCAGCCGCGGUAAUACGAAGGGUGCAAGCGUUAAUCGGAAUUACUGGGCGUAAAGCGUGCGUAGGCGGUUUCUUAAGUCUGCUGUGAAAUCCCCGGGCUCAACCUGGGAAUGGCAGUGGAUACUGGGAGGCUAGAGUGUGUCAGAGGGUGGUGGAAUUCCCGGUGUAGCGGUGAAAUGCGUAGAGAUCGGGAGGAACAUCAGUGGCGAAGGCGGCCACCUGGGACAACACUGACGCUGAGGCACGAAAGCGUGGGGAGCAAACAGGAUUAGAUACCCUGGUAGUCCACGCCCUAAACGAUGCGGACUGGAUGUUGGUCUCAACUCGGAGAUCAGUGUCGAAGCUAACGCGUUAAGUUCGCCGCCUGGGGGAGUACGGUCGCAAGAUU